CAACAUCCGCCACGGGGAUUACAAACGUUAGUUUAAAACCCAAAGGACUUGGCGGUGCUUAACAUCCACCUAGAGGAGCCUGUUCUAGAACCGAUAACCCCCGUUAAACCUCACCCUCCCUUGCCUUACCCGCCUAUAUACCACCGUCGUCAGCUUACCCUGUGAAGGCUUAACAGUAAGCAAAGUUGGCAAAGCCCAAAACGUCAGGUCGAGGUGUAGUGAAUGAGAGGGGAAGAAAUGGGCUACAUUUGCUAAGACUAGCAAUACGAAUGAUGCAUUGAAAUAUGCACUGAAGGAGGAUUAGCAGUAAGCAGGGAAUAGAGUGCCCCCUGAAACCGGCCCUAAAGCGCGCACACACAGCCCGUC
This 366-nucleotide ribosomal RNA is filed under the name Paralichthys patagonicus (Patagonian flounder). Its description in RNAcentral is "partial 12S ribosomal RNA". It matches the Rfam family "Bacterial small subunit ribosomal RNA", at positions 875 to 1398 of the family's 1533-position model. The record is from RNAcentral. Lineage: Eukaryota; Metazoa; Chordata; Actinopteri; Pleuronectiformes; Paralichthyidae.